RNAcentral lists this ribosomal RNA (253 nucleotides) under uncultured bacterium. Its description in RNAcentral is "partial 16S ribosomal RNA". It matches the Rfam family "Bacterial small subunit ribosomal RNA", at positions 524 to 776 of the family's 1533-position model. The record is from RNAcentral.
UACAGAGGUCUCAAGCGUUGUUCGGAUUCAUUGGGCGUAAAGGGUGCGUAGGCGGCGCGGUAAGUCGGGUGUGAAAUCUUGGAGCUUAACUCCGAAACUGCAUUCGAUACUGCCGUGCUUGAGGACUGGAGAGGAGACUGGAAUUUACGGUGUAGCGGUGAAAUGCGUAGAUAUCCGGAGGAACACCGAAGGCGAAGGCAGUGUCCUGGCGAGUGACUGACGCUGAGGUGCGAAAGCCAGGGGAGCGAACGGG